Molecule: long non-coding RNA, 207 nt
Filed under: Elaeis guineensis (African oil palm)
Lineage: Eukaryota; Viridiplantae; Streptophyta; Magnoliopsida; Arecales; Arecaceae
Description: long non-coding RNA (EGUI_LNC066600)
Source: RNAcentral
GCCGAUGAUAGAUUUAAUCAACUUCAAUAAUUGAUUAUGAUCUAAUAAUAAUCUAUCACUAGACUAGAAGCACAAAUAAGACAGUUAGCUGAGUCUACCAUGAGGAGAGAACAGGUCAAUUGCCAAGCCAACCGAUACCAAAUCCUAGGAACAAUCCAUCCACCCACCAACCACCUAAACCUAGUCAUCAAUCCAAUGUCCCACCUA